UGGGGAAUUUUGGACAAUGGGGGAAACCCUGAUCCAGCCAUCCCGCGUGUGCGAUGAAGGCCUUCGGGUUGUAAAGCACUUUUGGCAGGAAAGAAACGUCGCGGGUUAAUACCCCGCGAAACUGACGGUACCUGCAGAAUAAGCACCGGCUAACUACGUGCCAGCAGCCGCGGUAAUACGUAGGGUGCAAGCGUUAAUCGGGAUUACUGGGCGUAAAGCGUGCGCAGGCGGUUCGGAAAGAAAGAUGUGAAAUCCCAGAGCUUAACUUUGGAACUGCAUUUUUAACUACCGGGCUAGAGUGUGUCAGAGGGAGGUGGAAUUCCGCGUGUAGCAGUGAAAUGCGUAGAUAUGCGGAGGAACACCGAUGGCGAAGGCAGCCUCCUGGGAUAACACUGACGCUCAUGCACGAAAGCGUGGGGAGCAAACAGGAUUAGAUACCCUGGUAGUCCACGCCCUAAACGAUGUCAACUAGCUGUUGGGGCCUUCGGGCCUUGGUAGCGCAGCUAACGCGUGAAGUUGACCGCCUGGGGAGUACGGUCGCAAGAUUAAAACUUAAAUGAAUUGACGGGGGUGCAUAGCU
RNAcentral lists this ribosomal RNA (580 nucleotides) under uncultured bacterium. RNAcentral's name for it is "partial 16S ribosomal RNA". It matches the Rfam family "Bacterial small subunit ribosomal RNA", at positions 355 to 928 of the family's 1533-position model. The record is from RNAcentral.